Long non-coding RNA from Phyllostomus discolor (pale spear-nosed bat), 2553 nucleotides. RefSeq lists it as uncharacterized. NCBI's taxonomy places the organism in Eukaryota, Metazoa, Chordata, Mammalia, Chiroptera, Phyllostomidae. The record is from RefSeq and is a predicted model, not a curated record. The transcript has 2 exons.
CGGGGCGCAGCCCCGCCCCCCUCCCGCCCCCGCCUGGCCCCUGCUGGCGCGCGGCUCGGCGCAGGCGAAUCCCCGGCGCUGCCCCGCCUCCUCUCCAAAGGAAACUCCGAGACCCCGCGAAGAGUGUGAUUCACCCAUGAUUCAACCGCGCCGGCGGGCUUCAAGUUGCCCCUCGGGCGCUGGAGGCUCCAGUCUCUGACCUGAGUCCGUUGGCCCCAUGUGGAAUGUGAUUUUUUUUUGUAUUGUGGAGUUGAAGGUAAGUAGGAGAAAAUGUUACAUUUCAAUCAGGUGUGUUAGAAGACCCGAGGGAUUGUUGCUUUGUCUACAGAUUCCAUUUAGAGCCACCAAUUCUCCUGAAAUUGUGAAGGGCUUUAAGUCAUGUUAAGACCAGCAGUUUGAUAAGAAAAAUAUGUUUAACAUUAGAUUGUGUUACAAAAGUUGCCUUAAAGGCUGAUAAAUUACAUGAAUAUAUGUUUUGCACAGUCGCUAAAAUGAUCAGGCAGAAAAGAGAGGAAUUUCUUGGGUGUUUGCAUAGAUUUUGGAGUAAAAGUAGAACAACAUUCUUCAAGAUUUUAAUAAUGCUAAAAAUUAUUACUAUUUUCAAGAAGAAGAGGAAGAAAACUGGCCAUGAUAAAUAACAUCUCACAGCAAAGUUUUUCCUGGUGGAUCAGGCUGUGGUCAGAUGCUCAGCACCAUUCAAAGUACAUUUCUAAAAUUUCACUGUUGAUAUUUGUUGCACAGGAACCCAUUGGUCAUUAAAAAAUUUUACUGACCUUACACAAUUUUUUAACCCCCUUCAAUAAAGUCAAGCUUACCAGUUACUAAUGUUCUCUCCUAUAUGAUACAUCUUGAAGACUCUGAGAAGUUUGAAAAGUUGCUAAACUAUAACGAUAAUCAGACUGUCCUGCCCAAUACCUUUAUGAUUAGAUACUAGAAUGUCAGAGGGCUGGGGGGACCUCACAGACAUUCUUUCUCGGGUGAGAGGGCUGUGGCCACCGGGCCUGAGUGAACCGUCUUGCCUAACCUCACCUGUCAGAUCUGAUCUUCUGACCCCAGGAGGUUUCUUUCCAUGGCCAUGCUUUCUUCCACUCCCAAUGCCUGGAAGUAAAAUUGACCUCCAAGCCCAGGCUUACUGGAUUAAUUUAUUCAUCUAUAGGCACUUAACAAUGCUCUGCAGUUGGUGCAGAACAAAAAUACAGUUUGGGCAACUCACUGUUCUCCAGCAGAAAUACCUUGAUGGUUAUGCUCUGAAAUGCGAGCAUGGAGACGUGUAGAAGAGGUGGUGCUGCCUGUGUGUGACCAGUGAUGACAGGUGGUUGAUGAGGGGCCUGAAGAUGACUGGGCGAUGUUGCAGCCCUCCCCCUGUGCUUUCUUAGCGCUCCCACCAAUUCGACUGACUGAUGUGAUUUUUAUUGCAUGCUUCACUUGAUUUUGACUAUUAGUUGUUUGUUUUCUCCAUUACCGCUCCUUGGGGGAAUACAGAUGAUAUUGUUCCUUUACAUCUCUCAACCCUCUGCACAAUUAACUCGAAUCAAUGAAUACUUUUUGGAACCAUGUGUGCAGCCAGAUAUUUUCAUUGGUAUUCAAGAGAUGAAAUUUUUCUGUCUCAGGGCUGGGCAGUGUGUGUUUCGAAAUGCUCAGAUUGAUAAGGAAAUAUAAACCCAUUGUGGGUUGCCAAGUAUCACUUGACAGCCAGCUCCAGCUGUCUGUCUAACCUGUGAUUAUUGAUCCAUGCUACAGCCAGAAAAUCUAAUCAGGAGGAGAGGUAGCUGAAAGAGGAAACAAAUAUGGAAGUGUGGGAACUGGUUAGCAUUUUUCUGAAAGACUGGAUUCUAGGGUGAAUCAGAAGACUUUUCAGCCAUGUGAUGAGGCUGUGGAGAGCUGUCCUUGCAUAGCAAGGCUUACAGAGCUUUCAGAAUGAAUUGUACAAAAUGUGUAUCUCCCAGGAAAAAGGUAGGUUAAGCUUAUGAUAGUAGGUGAAAUUGAGAGUAAUUCAUAUAAAACUAUUAUAUGUAUAUGAAAUGGUAAAAAGAGCUAUGAAACCAUUUUACCCAAAAUUCAGGUAAAAGGAAAAAUAUGAAAAAAGACCAGAGGGAAUUAAGAGUAGGAACAGAGAGUUCUGGGGCAAAAAAGUGACUCAGCAGAAUCUGAAACACAUCUGGCAGGGUAUGGUUAGUCAUGGGAAAUUUGGCAGUCAUGAUAAUGCAUUUUGUAAAAAUAAUUAUAUGCUAGUCCAACAGCUAACAUUCAGGCCAAGAUUAAAUAAUUGAAAGCCCAUGCAGUGAAAUCUAUUAUCCUCAUUGUUCAAAAUCCUGUUAACUGUCUAGAAUUGUUUAAAGAAAGCUUUGGCAAAUAGGCGAUCACAUAGCACCAGUAUUUUGAAAAGUACAAUUUUAGAGAAAAAGCUUCCAGUUCAAAUCUCAGACAGGGAUUGGUGUUUUCAGCAUGCAACCAUCUUUAUCAAUCUAAGGCUCAUCACACUACUUGUCAACUUUCAUUUUGAUUAACAAUGAGUCUGUAUUAUUCUUUACAUACAAUAGGGACAAACUAAAU